CAGUAGCCGCGGUAAUACGAAGGGUGCAAACGUUGCUCGGAAUUAUUGGGCGUAAAGCGCACGUAGGCGGCUCCGCAAGUCGGAUGUGAAAUCCCUCGGCUUAACCAAGGAAGUGCAUCCGAAACUGCAGAGCUUGAGUACUUAAGAGGAUCGCGGAAUUCCCGGUGUAGAGGUGAAAUUCGUAGAUAUCGGGAGGAACACCAGUGGCGAAGGCGGCGAUCUGGGAAGAUACUGACGCUGAGGUGCGAAAGCGUAGGGAGCAAACAGGAUUAGAUACCCCCGUAGUCCCUGUCUCUUAUAA
This 301-nucleotide ribosomal RNA is filed under the name uncultured bacterium. Its description in RNAcentral is "partial 16S ribosomal RNA". It matches the Rfam family "Bacterial small subunit ribosomal RNA", at positions 509 to 809 of the family's 1533-position model. The record is from RNAcentral.